RNAcentral lists this ribosomal RNA (253 nucleotides) under uncultured bacterium. RNAcentral describes it as "partial 16S ribosomal RNA". It matches the Rfam family "Bacterial small subunit ribosomal RNA", at positions 524 to 776 of the family's 1533-position model. The record is from RNAcentral.
UACAGAGGGUGCGAGCGUUAAUCGGAAUUACUGGGCGUAAAGCGUGCGUAGACGGUUAUGUAAGUCGGGUGUGAAAGCCCCGGGCUCAACCUGGGAAUUGCAUUCGAGACUGCAUAGCUAGGGUGCGGAAGAGGGAAGCGGAAUUUCCGGUGUAGCGGUGAAAUGCGUAGAUAUCGGAAGGAACACCAGUGGCGAAGGCGGCCACCUGGACUUUAACUGACGCUGAGGCGCGAAAGCGUGGGGAGCGAACAGG